This 233-nucleotide ribosomal RNA is filed under the name Crotaphopeltis hotamboeia. RNAcentral describes it as "partial 16S ribosomal RNA". It matches the Rfam family "Bacterial large subunit ribosomal RNA", at positions 2093 to 2542 of the family's 2925-position model. Lineage: Eukaryota; Metazoa; Chordata; Lepidosauria; Squamata; Colubridae. The record is from RNAcentral.
GUGAAGCUUAAACUAAACUAUUAAACCAUAUAAUAACUACUUUCGGUUGGGGCGACCUUGGAAAAAAAAAGAACUUCCAAACAUAUGACCUUCAUCAUACUAAAUGGCACACAAGCCAACAAACGACCCAGCACAGCUGACUAAUGAACCAAGUUACUCCAGGGAUAACAGCGCAAUCCUCUUCAAGAGCCCAUAUCAAAAAGAGGGUUUACGACCUCGAUGUUGGAUCAGGA